This 360-nucleotide ribosomal RNA is filed under the name uncultured organism. RNAcentral's name for it is "bacterial LSU rRNA". It matches the Rfam family "Bacterial large subunit ribosomal RNA", at positions 2099 to 2465 of the family's 2925-position model. The record is from RNAcentral.
CUUUACUAUAGCUUCACAUUGACAUCGGCUGCCCGAUGUGUAGGAUAGGUGGGAGACUUUGAAGCGGUGUCGCUAGGCAUCGUGGAGUCAACGUUGAAAUACCACCCUUCUGUCAUCUGAUGUCUAAUCCCUGCGAAACAGGGAAACAGUGUGUGGUGGGUAGUUUGACUGGGGUGGUCGCCUCCAAAAGUGUAUCGGAGGCUUUCAAAGGUACCCUCAGCACGCUUGGUAACCGUGCGUUGAGUGCAUUAGCAUAAGGGUGCUUGACUGCGAGACCAACAAGUCGACCAGGUAGGAAACUAGGACAAAGUGAUCCGGUGGUUCCAUAUGGAAGGGCCAUCGCUCAUAGGAUAAAAGGUA